UACUGGAAAACAAAUGUUAGGUUUCAGGGACUCCGGCUAUCAAGGCAGUAGCUAGAAAGGCCUCCCAGGCCUUCCUAGCAGCCAUAGAGUCCGGAUUAAAAGAAAAGAGCUGCUACCAUACCAGGAGGUGAGAUAGCUGAGCAAGAGCCCUCGGGGGACCACCCUCCAUUUCCCUUGGAGGGUGCUCAGUAAAGAGCUACUAAGAGCUAAAAAAGAGGUCUUCUA
Molecule: long non-coding RNA, 225 nt
Filed under: Coffea arabica (coffee)
Lineage: Eukaryota; Viridiplantae; Streptophyta; Magnoliopsida; Gentianales; Rubiaceae
Description: long non-coding RNA (CARA_LNC004671)
Source: RNAcentral